AUUCACUGCACUAUUUUUAUUUUAUUUUUAUUUUUUAGCCAUACCUCAGUUAAUGUAAAUUUAGUUUGACGUUUUAAAAUGUUUAAAUUGUCUUCCACAGCAUCAAAGGCUCAGCUUGGAUUUGUGUGUAUGCGUGUGUAAAUUUAUGACAUUAUGUGAAAACCUACCCCUUUAAUGGCUGGUUAGAAAUUAAGGAGGAAACUAACAGUUGUAGGUAAGGAAAAUAAUUAGAGGUAAAAGUACUCUAAGUUUGUAGCAUUUAUUGAGAUCUAAUUCUGUCUUGCCUUUGCUUCUCCUGUUAUCUUACCCCCUGCCCUCAUUCUGGAACAGCUGAAGGAAUACAUUUUAUUCUGUCCAUCAAGCAUACACUAUGAAAUCGGAGUGCUUAAAAAUACUUCUGUGACCCUCUGCAAUGCUUGUUGUAUAGAUCCACAGGGAGUAACCACUUAGAGGAAAACGAUGGAGAACUGAAGGAGAUGAAUCGUUGAACAGUUAUCCAUGUCAAGUCUGGUUGUCAAAAAAUGUUCUUAUUAUUCAGUCAAACAUGCUUUGAGCUUCAUAUCCUAAAAGUAACCAUUCCAGUGAAUAGAUCU
Molecule: long non-coding RNA, 593 nt
Filed under: Marmota monax (woodchuck)
Lineage: Eukaryota; Metazoa; Chordata; Mammalia; Rodentia; Sciuridae
Source: RNAcentral